CCUGCUCUGCUGCCCCGUGGCCUGAGCUCAGCUUUGUGUGUGUGUGUGGGGGGGUCUCUGCUCUGCUGCCCCGUGGCCUGAGCUCAGCUGUGUGUGUGUGUGGGGGGGGUCUCUGCUCUGCUGCCCCGGGGCCUGAGCUCAGCUGUGGGGAGGGGUCUCUGCUCUGCAUGCUUGCCAACCCCAGCACUGGGGGAGCUUCAGCGCCAUGGUGACAUUCCUUCCUACCUUCCCGCCC
Long non-coding RNA from Erinaceus europaeus (western European hedgehog), 235 nucleotides. RefSeq lists it as uncharacterized. The record is from RefSeq and is a predicted model, not a curated record. The transcript has 3 exons. NCBI's taxonomy places the organism in Eukaryota, Metazoa, Chordata, Mammalia, Eulipotyphla, Erinaceidae.